UGGGGAAUAUUGCACAAUGGGCGCAAGCCUGAUGCAGCCAUGCCGCGUGUAUGAAGAAGGCCUUCGGGUUGUAAAGUACUUUCAGCGAGGAGGAAGGCGUUGUGGUUAAUAACCGCAACGAUUGACGUUACUCGCAGAAGAAGCACCGGCUAACUCCGUGCCAGCAGCCGCGGUAAUACGGAGGGUGCAAGCGUUAAUCGGAAUUACUGGGCGUAAAGCGCACGCAGGCGGUCUGUCAAGUCGGAUGUGAAAUCCCCGGGCUCAACCUGGGAACUGCAUCCGAAACUGGCAGGCUAGAGUCUUGUAGAGGGGGGUAGAAUUCCAGGUGUAGCGGUGAAAUGCGUAGAGAUCUGGAGGAAUACCGGUGGCGAAGGCGGCCCCCUGGACAAAGACUGACGCUCAUGUGCGAAAGCGUGGGGAGCAAACA
RNAcentral lists this ribosomal RNA (427 nucleotides) under uncultured bacterium. RNAcentral describes it as "partial 16S ribosomal RNA". It matches the Rfam family "Bacterial small subunit ribosomal RNA", at positions 355 to 774 of the family's 1533-position model. The record is from RNAcentral.